GGCGCUAAGAAAAGGUGCGCCGGAUGAAGAAGUAUGGAGGCCAUGAAAAACAAACAGCUGAAGGCUCCUUAUCUAUUAUCUAAUGACAGACAUCCUAAACAACUCAUAGCUGAGUUCCUUUCGCAUAGGUAUAUAAAUAAGCACAGCAAGACAAAUUCAUUUUUACUAUAUUUGAUUAAAAACUUGCUAUAUCAUCUAAAUGGCCAUAUCUUGUUAGUUAAUGUUCUGAUUAUACAAUAUGCUGGUUUUACAGUGUUACUAGGAGAUGACUACUAACUACUAGGGCGGUGGCUGUUUGGAGAAAUUGCUUUCAUUCAUAUAGCCCUAUUGUACUAGUGGAGGUUUCUUAUCUAAAAUGUUAGCUAUGAGGGGUAGCAGUAAGCCAGUAAUCCAUCUGUACCGACGUAUAAAUUUCCCCUGCUUGUUUCAAGCUGUUCUGAACUAAGAGUUUAGAACGUAAGGUCUGUGAUGUUAGACAUGUUUGUCCCAGUAGAUUGAUUUUGAAAUGCUAUUUGUCCAUUUGUUUCUCUUGGUUCAUUAAUAAUGCCACUUUUCACUUUGUUGCUAUUAUCUACUUAUCAUAGUGUUCUAUAUCUUAUGGGCUCUAAUUUCAUUGAUGCUAUUUGUCUGGUUUCUUAUCUAUACUGCUUGAGUUUUGAGUAAACUGCCGGAUGGCCCAAAGUGAAAACCAUUUCUGUACCCUAUUACUAAAUACUUAAAAACAUAAAUGGUACCUCUUGACGUACAUUUGAUCAUGUAUCAAUACUUCAAUGUUGGAAGAAAUUAUUUUUAACUUCAUUUUCUUUGCUUCUAUCAUCUUACAUAUUAUCAGCUCCAGCUGAAAUCAUUCAAGUCAAAAUGUCUGUAAGCUUGAUCAGUGUCAUCUACAUUAUGGGUGUUCAGAUCAAGUUUCUUCCCUGAACACGAAUUCUCAAAAUCUAUUAGCUUGCUUUCUCUGGGGUAUUCAGCGACCUGUCUUGCACACUUUUGCUCUUCUAGAUAUAGCUUCUCCGCAUCUACUUUGCUUCCUGAUGCCGAACUGGUGGUGCUACCUCCACCAUUUUGGGGUGCAGUAUACUCAUGCACUAUCUCUGUGUCACUUUCAUACCCAAACUCUGCUUUACUGUAUUGUUCAUCAUUCUGCAAAUGUGCCAUCCUACGCUCACUUAGGCUUCUGUUAAGGGCAAACUGGGUCUCAUGUUCAUGCGGUCUUUUUCUGCAAAAUAAUGAACUACCAUCAUGUGCUUUUAGUACUCCAUGGUGCUGUUGGUGCUGUAGUCUCUGCUCCUUGAUGAAUCCUUCGGCCACAGACAAAUAACUAUUUGUUGAACUUUCAACAAACUGGAUUUGUCUGGGCUCUAACCUAUGCACACUUGAACUUCCUUUUACAUCUGUAAUUGCAUUACUGAAGCAUUCAGUUGAUACUUGUGAAACUAACUGUGAUAUUUUUAUUUUUGCAUCUUCCAGGUUCGCAGGACCCAAAUUCUGUUUUCCAAGUGUUUCUUGUGCCUGCUCCAAAACUGCUUGUAGGUAUUUCCCUUGUGCUUCAAUUCGUAGUUGUAGAUGCCUUUGCACCUGUUUCCAAUUUGAAUUUCAGAUCAGAAUCACUGCAGCAGCAGCACAACUCCAUUUUAUAGACACUAUAAGCGGGACUUUGCUGGACCAUUAAAAUCAGUAGCAAACGUUGGACUCCAAUAUUGGGUGUGUGAAUCCAUAGAAAAUAAUUUAGGAUGCUGCCACUCACAAUCAUGACCCUGAACCUGCACUUCUAUAAUCUGCCUAAUGAUCAGACAGAAGAGGCUGAGGUGGUUGACACUGUGUGAUCAAAGGGAACCCUAUUUGUAGAAGACGAGCAGGAGAAAGAAGUCUAGAGGCGAGAGAAACCAGACUAGAAUGGUUUGCUAUUCAAGCAUGCAGCUUCCAGAUCACUAAUUGAUUCCAUGGUCAUCAUCUGUGUUGGACAGAGUGCACAGGUGCACUUGGGCCAACAAGGUGCAGCAAGCUUCCACAGCACGGGAGGUGCGGAGAGGACAGCUUGCAGAAUGAGAAAGAACACACUCCACCCGUUCCAAAUCAUAGUUCACUUCGGCUCUAUCCUAAGCCAAACUUACUUUCACUGAGUUUUUAGAAAAAAAAUUAACAUCUACAAGUUCAAAUAGAUAUACUAUAUGUUAGAAUACAAGUGAACUGUUCAACUCUCUCUAUCAGCUUAUUUUUUUGGGUUGAAUUAAUUAGUGCAUGCAACUUAAUAUGGCAUCAAAUGCAUAAGUCUCGAGUUCAAAUCCUGAUUAGUGCAAUGAAAUACAAAAAUUAUUGCUCCGCUCAUGUUUUACGUUUGAGGCCUGAGAGAGUUUCUACGUGAGGGGGAGUGUUAGAAUACAAGUGAAUUGUCCAACUAUUUCUAUCAACUUAGGAUUUUGGAUUGAAUUAGUUGUUGCAUGUAACUUAAUACUAUCUAGAUAUAUUUCAUGGAGCUUUUGAUGAAACUAAUUUGAUAUUGUAGAUGUUGAUGUAGUUUUCUAUAAACUUGGACAAAGUUAGAGAAAUUAGACCAGGACAAAGCUAAAGUGAACUACAAUUUGGAAAUGACUGGCGCGAUCCUAGCCUAGUUCUUGCGAUGUGGUCUGUGUGUUCGUUCCUGUACUUGGAUUUGGGUCCUUCUGGACUCGUGUACUAUUUUUUUUUACCUUAACAAAAUGACGCACAACUCUCAUGUGUAGUUCGAGAAAAAAUAUAAUUUGGAAUGAGGGACCAUAUAUAGGUUGAAUGCCAUCUGUUAAAGAUUGCAGACUUGCAUUAAUGGAAAUUUUCAUCAAAGGUUUAGAAGUUCAAUAAUAGAAUUGGUGUUUGAGAGAUCUAUUUUCAUGUUUGAUUUUUAAUAAACUAUUUGUUUUAUUGUCCAAAAAACAGAUUAUUUGUUUCUUCACCCUUUAACUAAUGGCUAUGUGCAUCUCUUGACUCAGCUUAAACAAUCUUAUUCAUUAAUCUAAAAGGGUAAUUAGCUUGCACUCCUGCUGUUCCAAUUUGUAAGUCAUUUAGGACUGCUAGCCAGAAUGCUUGAGAUAGCCCAUUGUUCGACCUACCUUAUCUACCACGUGAAAAUUUGGAACAAGAGUAUUGUCUUAGUGGUGUCAGUGACUUACCUCAAGUUGUUCAUUUAACUGUCUCUGAACCUCAAUUUGCAUCUGAAGUGCUUCACCAAUUUGAAUAGUCCUUGCAUGCAGGAAAAUAUAUUAUAAUUUCGGUAUUGAGAUUAUAUAUAAUUACGGAGUGUUAACAGAGUCCUUACUUCUCUGCCUGCGGAACGACAUUUGUACUGCUCAUUGUUGCAGCGCUUGUUCCAGGAAUCCUAUCAGCAAUGGAUGUACAUCCUAUGGCUGCAAAGUGGUUACAAGUUGUUGACUCAUGCUGUUCCAUUAUAAUAGUAAAUACGGGAGUUACAACUUGUUCUUACCAUUCUUUGAUGUACUGACAUUUGCUUGAGCUUGGAGGUUCUUGCUCAGCCUGUAUUUCUGUAGAAUCCAAGAAAUGAUGAUUAGUCAUUACAAAUAUCAUUUUUAGCAGGCUGAUUCUGAUUCUAAUGUACCUGGAGAUGGCUUUUCAAAUGGUACAAGGUGAGUCCUGGGAUUCCCAUGAGCCUCAUGACUGUUUUUGGAGUAGCUUCUGGGUGAUGAAUAGAAAUAUAAGAAUUCAGCUGGCCUCUGUACUUUGAGAAGAUAUAAGAAUAUUAUACUUACUCUCUGCUCCACCUAACUGAUUGACUGCAUCUACAAAUCGCUGAUGUAACUCAGGUGUCCAUUUGAGCCUUGGUUUAGCAUCAGUUGAGAGAACCAGCCCAGAAUCUCCUUGGGCAUUUCCUCCACGCAAAAACAGAUGCUGCUCCAUUGGAAAGGAUGUCCUCGUGGUGAAGAGCUCACUCAGGCCCUGAUGUUGGUGAUACAUCUGCUGUAGAAAUGAAAUGUAAUUUCUAAGCAGUUAGGUCAAUGAGACGCGCCGGGGGGCAGGGUGUCUGAAUUUUCCUAACCUUUCUGGCCUGUGUUUUCCACUCUUUUCUCUGUUCCCAAAGGCUGAACUUGUGUUGGAGUGUUUCCUGUUGACAAACUCAAACGCCCUCUUGCCCAACCUUAAGCCUUUUGAUACCCUUGUGGCCUUCUCAGGUUGAUAAGGAGUGCCUUAUGAGGUGCCUUUUAUAUGGGAAAACAUAGAAUCUAGAGUCUUGGAACAAACAUCAAAAGAACAACCUUUAAGCCUACUAAAGAGAAGAUGCUAGCUUUAGUAAUUUUGGAAUCAGAAAUUUUCAUUUUGAAUUUCAACCUGUGACUUCUAUGUAUGGUACUACCUUACUUUUCUAGUUGUAUUUUACUGGUUUAAAACAGUUGAAUUCUGUGUGGUAUGUGUAGAGAUAAACACGAACACCUAUAGUAAAGCAAAUUAUACUUUUACGUAGCUUUCUGGAAUAUGAUUCUGCUAUAUCUGUUGAGUUUAUGAAAGAUGCACUUCUGAAUUUAUGCCUCAUGAAUGACCAGAGAAAAAUAUUUGAGUAGCUUCUCUAUACUGCCAGCUCGGGGUAGUUUUGCUGGUAUUUACAAAUGGUUCAGUCUUGCUGCAGUUUGGUACAUGAUUUGAUUAUUAUUGUUCAUAGUGGAAUCAGAUGCAGUUUGGGUUAUGUUGACACUUGUCGUUAUACUUUUUGAGGACGCUAUUCUACUUACAGAAACAUAGUUUUUUCUAUCAAUUUUAUUCUGUCCGUUGUGUUACUUUGAAGAGCGUGGAAUAUGAACAAGAAUAAGUUCCAUCAGCGUCCUUUCCUAAGAUUGGUACAUAUUCACAUUGCAGUCCAGGGAAGUUUCGGCCAUAAGAUUUAUGCUCUUUACGUGGGAUAAGCUCCUUUUGAACAAGA
RNAcentral lists this long non-coding RNA (4900 nucleotides) under Zea mays. RNAcentral describes it as "long non-coding RNA (ZMAY_LNC004043)". Lineage: Eukaryota; Viridiplantae; Streptophyta; Magnoliopsida; Poales; Poaceae. The record is from RNAcentral.